RNAcentral lists this ribosomal RNA (164 nucleotides) under uncultured bacterium. RNAcentral's name for it is "partial 16S rRNA". It matches the Rfam family "Bacterial small subunit ribosomal RNA", at positions 355 to 511 of the family's 1533-position model. The record is from RNAcentral.
UAGGGAAUCUUCGGCAAUGGACGAAAGUCUGACCGAGCAACGCCGCGUGAGUGAAGAAGGUUUUCGGAUCGUAAACUCUGUUGGUAGAGAAGAACGUUGGUGAGAGUGGAAAGCUCAUCAAGUGACGGUAACUACCCAGAAAGGGACGGCUAACUACGUGCUAG